Molecule: long non-coding RNA, 880 nt
Filed under: Homo sapiens (human)
Lineage: Eukaryota; Metazoa; Chordata; Mammalia; Primates; Hominidae
Description: non-protein coding lnc-ACKR3-1:4
Source: RNAcentral
UGAAAAUGUGGAUGAUCAGGACCAAGUUAUUCUCCCGUAAGGCCACAGUCUGCUGGAGGGAAUGACAUCUCCAGCCAGCUCUUCUCCAGAGAACCCUGUUUCCUCUCUCCUGCUUACUCUUCAAGACUUCCCUUUGAUGUCACCUGGUCUGUGAGACAGCCUUUCCUGGGACCCCCCCACGGAGAGAGAACCCACUCAUAAGACUCCAAAAUGCCAAGGCGCCCAGCUUCUCAUGCCCACCUCUGAGCUGUGAGGCAGAGGCCUGUUUAUUUUGGGUUGAUGAGUAAAUCAUGUGGAACAGAAUCAAAAGCUCUGCUGAAGUCAACACAGAUGACAUCUGUCACUUCCUCUUAAUCCAUCAGUCAGGGGGAGAGGGCAUUGGAUUAAUUAGACAGGCUCUUUCAAACGUUUGCCAGCAAUGACUCCAUGCCCUCUUUCUCUCAUGCACUGGUGAAGGAAAACAAUGAAUUUUCACCCUAUUGUUUAUCUUAGAAGGGUCAGGUUUUGAGGUCAAACAUCAGUGUAAAAUUUUGUCUUAAAAAAUGCACAUGCAUUCUAACUGCUAAUAGCUCAUAUGCCCAUCUUUGAAAUCAAAGUUCUUGUUUCUUUACGAAUGUGCCCACUGCAAGGAUAUCAAAGCAUUGGCAGACAUUAAGUCAGUGGCUUUGCCUAAGCCAGGCUUUCUCUCAUUGAAAAGGGAGGGAUCUAUUUGGGGAGAGAGUCUCUGGGGGCCGUGAUUUAUCCAGUUUGAUUACAUGGAACACUGGUCUCUGUUUAUUUGCUGCAACAUGGCAUCUGCCUUGGGAGGAGAUGCUCCACAGUCGACUAGAGCCUCUGCCAGCUGUGGCCACUUGUCUUCAGGCUGCACCUGUGUGAGUCC